AGUCUUAUAGUCAAUUAUGAUUUUAAAUUGCAAGUUUAAAGGUGAGGGUAUUCUAAGGCUU
RNAcentral lists this transfer RNA (61 nucleotides) under Adrastus rachifer. RNAcentral's name for it is "tRNA-Cys". Lineage: Eukaryota; Metazoa; Arthropoda; Insecta; Coleoptera; Elateridae. The record is from RNAcentral.